UUCAUGCAGGGGUUGUUAAUUAGUCAGCAACAUAAAUCUACUCUCUGCUUCUAUAUAAAGAGGACUCAUCUCGUAUUGGACUCGGCAGACACACAGUAUUAAGAGCUUCGAAAUUGUUGGUGUUUGAAAUGCAGUAAAUCAGUGGUUGUUUUUUGGUCAUAUUUGUGGCGGUGAACGAUGUCAUGAGAAGUAAAGACUUAGCAACCAUCUAGUGUGAACACAUAGCAGUGAUUUACACACAGUGUAUUGGUAACUUAAGUUUACUAACAAACGAGGCUUCUAACUCGCAGGUCGAAACAGAGCCGAUUGGGUACACAUCCGCAGACAAGACUCAAACAGCCAAGUGUGGUGAGAGCAAACAGAAGGUGCCAAACACAAGCAAACAACAGGCCUGUCAGCCGUCACUGCCUACCCGUCACCAUGAAGACAUCAACAAUGGUCCUGU
Molecule: long non-coding RNA, 445 nt
Organism: Asterias rubens (European starfish)
Lineage: Eukaryota; Metazoa; Echinodermata; Asteroidea; Forcipulatida; Asteriidae
Exons: 2
Source: RefSeq, a predicted model, not a curated record